CAAUAGCGUAUAUUAACGUUGUUGCAGUUAAAAAGCUCGUAGUUGGAUUUCUGGAGGGAGCGUCGGCCCGUAUUUACGAGUGCGUGACGUCUCUGUCCAUCCUUGCGGGAAGGCACGGCAUUGAUUUGUUGUGUCGGAUCGCAUCAUUUACUGUGAAAAAAUUAGAGUGUUCAAAGCAGGCUUUCGCUUGAAUACAUUAGCAUGGAAUAAUAAGAUGGGACUUUGGUGCUAUUUUGUUGGUUGAGCCUAAAGUAAUGAUUAAUAGGGAUAGUUGGGGGCACCUGUAUUGCGUUGUCAGAGGUGAAAUUCUUGGAUUUACGCAAGACAAACAGCUGCGAAAGCGUCUGCCAAGGAUGUUUNCAUUAA
Molecule: ribosomal RNA, 366 nt
Filed under: uncultured eukaryote
Lineage: Eukaryota
Description: partial 18S ribosomal RNA
Rfam family: Eukaryotic small subunit ribosomal RNA
Source: RNAcentral